Long non-coding RNA from Sander lucioperca (pikeperch), 117 nucleotides. RefSeq lists it as uncharacterized. Lineage: Eukaryota; Metazoa; Chordata; Actinopteri; Perciformes; Percidae. The transcript has 3 exons. The record is from RefSeq and is a predicted model, not a curated record.
AAACACAGCACUUAGUGGAUGUCAGGCUGGCCUGUGAGUAGGGAGACCUGGGCACUGGUAAGAUGGAGGGAAGUUUAACAUAGUUCAUUUACACAUACUACCAACAUUAUUAUGAUA